Molecule: non-coding RNA, 88 nt
Filed under: Candidatus Omnitrophota bacterium
Lineage: Bacteria; Pseudomonadati; Candidatus Omnitrophota
Description: Omnitrophica WOR c-di-GMP sequence
Rfam family: c-di-GMP-I riboswitch aptamer
About the family: GEMM was predicted in a large-scale screen for bacterial structured RNA regulatory elements. Genes associated with GEMM are involved in a diverse array of functions, including chemotaxis regulation, signal transduction, secretion and chitin.
Source: RNAcentral
GUUGUAUCAGGGCAAACUCCGAGAAAUCGGAGGACGCAAAGCCACGGGUCCGAUCCGCCGCAUGGCGGAGGACAGCCGGGUUGCCAAC